UACGUAGGGGGCUAGCGUUGUCCGGAAUCAUUGGGCGUAAAGAGCGUGUAGGCGGUCCGGUAAGUCCGCUGUGAAAGUCGGGGGCUCAACCCUCGAAUGCCGGUGGAUACUGUCGGGCUAGAGUGCGGAAGAGGCGAGUGGAAUUCCCAGUGUAGCGGUGAAAUGCGUAGAGUAUUGGGAAGAACACCUGCGGCGAAGGCGGGUUGCUGGGCCGACACUGACGCUGAGGCGCGAAAGCCAGGGGA
RNAcentral lists this ribosomal RNA (245 nucleotides) under uncultured bacterium. RNAcentral's name for it is "partial 16S ribosomal RNA". It matches the Rfam family "Bacterial small subunit ribosomal RNA", at positions 524 to 767 of the family's 1533-position model. The record is from RNAcentral.